CCUGACUAAUGCUGGGAGAUGGCCCCUUAACAGGCCUGACCAGCAGCGGCCGCGUUUGCGAACGCAGCCGUUCACAGAUCAUGCUUGGGCGGUCCUGUCGGAUUAUGAUAUGACCGGUCCCGCUCUGCAACGAGCGGGAACCUCGUUCCGUAGGUGCAAAGUUCGCCUACCGCAUGCGCAAUGCGCGGUCUGCACCCCUGGGUGCAGGCAACACCGUUCAAAUGCUGGGCGUGCCGGGCGCAAGCCCGUCAUCAUCAGCAGCCGGCGCUCCGGCGCUUGGCCCACAGAUCAUCCGACGGUGACCUAUCGAGGUUAAGAUAUGAUCGGUCCCGGCCCGCCCUGGGCCUCGGAGGCACGGAACCUGCGGAAGGAUCAUUACCGAGAGACGGGGCCUAACCGGCCCCAACUCUUCACCCGUGUCUACUCAAUAUAUGUUGCUUUGGCGGGCCAGCCGGGGCUCUCCGGGGGAGGUUUAUCCCUUCUCGCGCCCGCCAAAGGCCCUAGCAAACCCUGUGAUCAGUGUCGUCCGAGUAAAAACAAUCGUUAAAACUUUCAACAACGGAUCUCUUGGUUCCGGCGUCGAUGAAGAACGCAGCGAAAUGCGAAAAGUAAUGUGAAU
This 619-nucleotide unclassified non-coding RNA is filed under the name Physconia detersa. Its description in RNAcentral is "sequence contains 18S rRNA gene, ITS1, 5.8S rRNA gene, ITS2, 28S rRNA gene". The stretch from base 548 to 619 matches the Rfam family "5.8S ribosomal RNA", at positions 1 to 72 of the family's 154-position model. Lineage: Eukaryota; Fungi; Ascomycota; Lecanoromycetes; Caliciales; Physciaceae. The record is from RNAcentral.